This is a long non-coding RNA of Girardinichthys multiradiatus, 795 nucleotides long. RefSeq lists it as uncharacterized. Lineage: Eukaryota; Metazoa; Chordata; Actinopteri; Cyprinodontiformes; Goodeidae. The transcript has 3 exons. The record is from RefSeq and is a predicted model, not a curated record.
GUCUCUUUACUCAAAUAAGUCAUGACUCUCAUCAUCAAGCCUUUGGCAUCCAUUUUUCCUUCAUCAGUGGAAACUGGCAUAACACCUUCUAACAUGAAGUUGCUAAAGUUAUUCCACUUUUUAAAUCAGGAGAUACUGAGACCUUUACAAUCCAUCAGCUUUGUCUAGAUUCAAGACUCGACUUUUUUAUUGUCAAUUCACCAUAUGUGCAGUACAUACAGAGAAAUUAAAAUGUAGUUUAUCUGUGUCACUAUGAUGACAUAGACCAUGCAGCACAAUAAUGCUAAAGAUUAAGAUAGGAAGACUAACUAUAAAAAAAGAGUUUGUUGGGACUUGGGAGUAUGUUUACUGUGUUUGUCCACCAGAGGUCCUCCUGGAGCCACUGCUGACUCUAUACAGGUGUUCCUGAUCUUUGGAUGAUUGUGUGUACCUGGGAGGAGUAUUUAGGAGCCUGCCACCAGUCCUUCAUUGCCUGAUUGUUUUGCCCAUGUGUACCUGUGAGGUGUGGGUGUCUUCCUCUUUACCUGGACCUGGACUUCCAGUAUCUCUCUCUAUUGUUUGUGAACUUUGGAUUAUCACCACUAGACUGUGGUUUGGAUUCUAAAUCUCCCAAGCUCCUUCCUCUGUGUGGACUCUGAUCUGCUGUGGACCGCUCUUAUUGGACAAGCCUUCUGGAUUACCUGACUCCCAAGCCCAAUGACAACCCGAGAAGUCUGAAGUACCUGCCUGAGCAUUUCCUACCGGGUUUCCGGUGUGACUUGAAACAUUGACUGUAAAUAAACUUUUGAACCUUUA